Molecule: ribosomal RNA, 448 nt
Filed under: uncultured bacterium
Lineage: Bacteria
Description: bacterial SSU rRNA
Rfam family: Bacterial small subunit ribosomal RNA
Source: RNAcentral
UGGGGAAUAUUGGACAAUGGGCGCAAGCCUGAUCCAGCCAUGCCGCGUGAGUGACGAAGGCCUUAGGGUUGUAAAGCUCUUUUUGGCGGGGAAGAUAAUGACGGUACCCGCAGAAUAAGCUCCGGCUAACUUCGUGCCAGCAGCCGCGGUAAUACGAAGGGAGCUAGCGUUGUUCGGAAUCACUGGGCGUAAAGCGCACGUAGGCGGUUUGAUAAGUCUGAUGUGAAAACCCUGGGCUCAAUCCAGGAAGUGCAUUGGAUACUGUCAGGCUAGAGUACAGGAGAGGUGGGCGGAAUUCCUGGUGUAGAGGUGAAAUUCGUAGAUAUCAGGAGGAACAACAGUGGCGAAGGCGGCUCACUAGACUGUAACUGACGCUGAGGCGCGAAAGCGUGGGGAGCAAACAGGAUUAGAUACCCCCGUAGUCCCUGAGCGGGCUGGCAAGGCGCAU